UACGUAUGGUGCAAGCGUUAUCCGGAUUUACUGGGCGUAAAGGGAGCGCAGGCGGUGCGCCAAGUCUGAUGUGAAACCCCGGGGCUCAACCCCGGGCAUGCAUUGGAAACUGGCGGGCUGGAGUGCCGGAGAGGUAAGCGGAAUUCCUAGUGUAGCGGUGAAAUGCGUAGAUAUUAGGAGGAACACCAGUGGCGAAGGCGGCUUACUGGACGGCAACUGACGCUGAGGCUUGAAAGCGUGGGGGGCAAACAGG
This 253-nucleotide ribosomal RNA is filed under the name uncultured bacterium. RNAcentral describes it as "partial 16S ribosomal RNA". It matches the Rfam family "Bacterial small subunit ribosomal RNA", at positions 524 to 776 of the family's 1533-position model. The record is from RNAcentral.